AUGAACGCUGGCGGCGUGCUUCACACCUGCCAGUCGAACGAAGCACUUUAUUUGAUUUCCUUCGGGACUGAUUAUUUUGUGACUGAGUGGCGGACGGGUGAGUAACGCGUGGGUAACCUGCCUUGUACAGGGGGAUAACAGUUGGAAACGGCUGCUAAUACCGCAUAAGCGCACGGCAUCGCAUGAUGCAGUGUGAAAAACUCCGGUGGUAUAAGAUGGACCCGCGUUGGAUUAGCUAGUUGGUGAGGUAACGGCCCACCAAGGCGACGAUCCAUAGCCGACCUGAGAGGGUGACCGGCCACAUUGGGACUGAGACACGGCCCAAACUCCUACGGGAGGCAGCAGUGGGGAAUAUUGCACAAUGGGCGAAAGCCUGAUGCAGCGACGCCGCGUGAGCGAAGAAGUAUUUCGGUAUGUAAAGCUCUAUCAGCAGGGAAGAUAAUGACGGUACCUGACUAAGAAGCACCGGCUAAAUACGUG
This 480-nucleotide ribosomal RNA is filed under the name uncultured bacterium. RNAcentral's name for it is "partial 16S ribosomal RNA". It matches the Rfam family "Bacterial small subunit ribosomal RNA", at positions 29 to 507 of the family's 1533-position model. The record is from RNAcentral.